This 494-nucleotide ribosomal RNA is filed under the name uncultured bacterium. Its description in RNAcentral is "partial 16S ribosomal RNA". It matches the Rfam family "Bacterial small subunit ribosomal RNA", at positions 28 to 507 of the family's 1533-position model. The record is from RNAcentral.
GACGAACGCUGGCGGCGUGCUUAACACAUGCAAGUCGAACGGUGAAGCGCCUUCCUUUUUGGUGGGUGUGGAUGAGUGGCGAACGGGUGAGUAACACGUGAGUAACCUGCCCCCUUCUUCUGGAUAACCGCAUGAAAGUGUGGCUAAUACGGGAUAUUCUGGGUCUGUCGCAUGAUGGGUCUGGGAAAGAUAUUGUUUCGGUGGGGGAUGGGCUCGCGGCCUAUCAGCUUGUUGGUGGGGUGAUGGCCUACCAAGGCGGUGCCGGGUAGCCGGCCUGAGAGGGUGGACGGUCACACUGGGACUGAGACACGGCCCAGACUCCUACGGGAGGCAGCAGUGGGGAAUAUUGCACAAUGGGCGCAAGCCUGAUGCAGCGACGCCGCGUGAGGGAUGGAGGCCUUCGGGUUGUGAACCUCUUUCGCCAGUGAAGCAGGCCUGCCUCGUUUGUGGGUGGGUUGACGGUAGCUGGAGAAGAAGCGCCGGCUAACUACGUG